Molecule: non-coding RNA, 112 nt
Organism: Pelobates cultripes (western spadefoot toad)
Lineage: Eukaryota; Metazoa; Chordata; Amphibia; Anura; Pelobatidae
Source: the annotation of a GenBank genome assembly
GUCAGGAUGGCCGAGCGGUCUAAGGCGCCAGACUCAAGAGUAUAAUCUCUUCCCUUCACUUGGGAUUUCUGGUCUCCGAAUGGAGGCGUGGGUUCAAAUCCCACUUCUGACA